RNAcentral lists this unclassified non-coding RNA (239 nucleotides) under Hevea brasiliensis (rubber tree). Lineage: Eukaryota; Viridiplantae; Streptophyta; Magnoliopsida; Malpighiales; Euphorbiaceae. The record is from RNAcentral.
CGUCUGAAUUGGCUUGGACUUGGUCUCUUUGCAUCCUCCUCUUUCGCCCAUGAGUGAAUCUCUUGUAGAACUUCAAAGGCCUGCUAACAUUUACACUCAUUCUAGUGAGUUGCACCAAACUUCUGGCUGCUAAGGAAGUUAUCAGAUAAAUCAUUCCAUGACAUUUUGAUACUUCUAAAUUUGUCAGAUUUUGGAAUCAAAAUGAGGAUGGCACUAAAAUAUUCAACAUGCAGCAUUCA